CUCCACGUUGCAUGGCUGGUCAUAAUCCUGUCUGCAAUUCUUCAUGAGCAGCAACUUUCAGUGAGGUUGAAGAGUAAUGUAAAUAUCUAGAGUUUCAGAAGCCAGGGCUGUACUGUGGAACACAUUCCAUCUAGAUUAUCCCUGACUUGCAUUGAAGGAGAAUCAAUGACAGUUUUUUCAAGAAAAAACAAUUUCCCACAAUUUUUCAGAGACUUGCAGGAACUACUUUUGGAAAACAGCAAUCAAGGUAUUCAGUCUUCAUCCUCUUAUUUGCAGAGAUAGUUUCCUUACUAUGUCAUAUCUAUAUGAAAUUACUAUAUGGGGCUUUCACAAUUGUUCUGCUCCUGGAAAGGUCACACUGGGCUGGCUUGCAUAGCAUGAGGAACAAACUUCAAGGGAUUCACUGAAGGACUUUCACUUGAAAAAAUUUUGCAAGUAUUAUCACAUUGGGGAUGGCCUUCUCUAAGGAACAGGAUCUGAGGUUUUAAGGCGGGAGGUGCCAGAGCUUGCACAAGACUAAAUCAAGCCAAAAGAAAACAUCUGGAGAUGUCAAAAUGUGGAUGAAUGGAAGUCUCAGCUGGAUUGUUCCAUACGGUUUUGGAUACCAUACUUCAGAAAAUAUGUGGUCCAAAUGGAUGUACUCUGCAGAGAUUAAAAAGAAUAACUGGAAACUGGGAUCAGCAAGCAAAACAAAAGCAGAAUUAGGUUUAUUUAGUCUGAAAAAUAGAACUCCAAAGGAAGGCAGGAGAAAUAUUCCUUAGACACACAGUAGGUAAGGUUGAUACUCUUAAUCUUUAUGGGUGGAAAAAUAGCUGCCUAGGUUAUCUGCCAGAGAAACUCUUGGAAAGGAGUUGUUAUGAUUGAUCAGCCACAGGAAAUGCUUCCUGCAGUGUUCUGGGGCAAAACUAUGAGAGAGGAAACGUCUGACUCUGACACUCUUAUGGCAUGGACCACACUGGAACAGCUGGGGCUUCUUAUUUUGCUGGCUGAACUGAUGCCUAAAGAGGCUGACCUGGAACAGAGGCUAGACAGAGUUAAAGGAACAAAGCAGGUAUUUGUUAAAAGACCUUUAAAGGAUGCACCUGGAGCAGUUCAAGAGCCCAGCCAUGGCUCCACCCAAGAUGGACCCAAGAUGGACCCAAGAUGGACAACUGGUCAUGAGUUUUCAAACGUUUUAAAGUUUUGGGCCAUUUACAUAUUGGGCUUAAUUGUCCAAUUCCUGCUUCAGGUUAUGAAGUCCCAUCCUCCCAGACUGCUCUCAUCAAUUUGCUGUUGUUUAUACCUUUUGGGCCUGAGGCUGCAAUGGUGUCCUUGGUUCCCAAGCUGGAAAAGGAUUGUUUGGUCUAACUGA
This 1351-nucleotide long non-coding RNA is filed under the name Taeniopygia guttata (zebra finch). Its description in RNAcentral is "lncRNA (ENSTGUG00000023643.1)". Lineage: Eukaryota; Metazoa; Chordata; Aves; Passeriformes; Estrildidae. The record is from RNAcentral.